RNAcentral lists this ribosomal RNA (407 nucleotides) under uncultured bacterium. RNAcentral describes it as "partial 16S ribosomal RNA". It matches the Rfam family "Bacterial small subunit ribosomal RNA", at positions 360 to 775 of the family's 1533-position model. The record is from RNAcentral.
AAUAUUGCGCAAUGGAGGAAACUCUGACGCAGCGACGCCGCGUGAGCGAUGAAGGUCUUCGGAUCGUAAAGCUCUGUCCUUGGGGAAGAAGAUCGAAAGAUUUGACGGUACCCGAGGAGGAAGCCCUGGCCAACUACGUGCCAGCAGCCGCGGUAAUACGUAGGGGGCGUGCGUUGUCCGGAAUUAUUGGGCGUAAAGGGUUCGUAGGCGGUUUUUUAAGUCAGAUGUGAAAGGUCGCGGCUCAACCGUGGUAAGCAUUUGAAACUGAAAGACUUGAGUUAAGGAGAGGAAAGUGGAAUUCCUAGUGUAGCGGUGAAAUGCGUAGAUAUUAGGAGGAAUACCAGUGGCGAAGGCGACUUUCUGGACUUAUACUGACGCUGAGGAACGAAAGCGUGGGGAGCAAACAG